UACGUAGGGUGCGAGCGUUGUCCGGAAUUAUUGGGCGUAAAGGGCUCGUAGGCGGUUUGUCGCGUCGGGAGUGAAACCCAGGGCUUAACCCUGGGCUGGCUUUCGAUACGGGCAGACUAGAGGUAUGCAGGGGAGAACGGAAUUCCUGGUGUAGCGGUGAAAUGCGCAGAUAUCAGGAGGAACACCGGUGGCGAAGGCGGCAUCCUGGACCGGCAUUGACGCUGAGGCGCGAAAGCUAGGGGAGCAAACGGG
RNAcentral lists this ribosomal RNA (252 nucleotides) under uncultured bacterium. Its description in RNAcentral is "partial 16S ribosomal RNA". It matches the Rfam family "Bacterial small subunit ribosomal RNA", at positions 524 to 776 of the family's 1533-position model. The record is from RNAcentral.